GGGAAUGUGGCUCAGUGGUAGAGUGCUUGCCUAGCAUGCAUGAAAUGCUGGGUUUGAUUCCUCAGUACCA
Molecule: non-coding RNA, 70 nt
Organism: Dipodomys ordii (Ord's kangaroo rat)
Lineage: Eukaryota; Metazoa; Chordata; Mammalia; Rodentia; Heteromyidae
Source: Rfam